CCUACGGGAUGCACCAGUGGGGAAUAUUGCACAAUGGGCGCAAGCCUGAUGCAGCCAUGCCGCGUGUGUGAAGAAGGCCUUCGGGUUGUAAAGCACUUUCAGUAGGGAGGAAGGUAAUGUAGUUAACACCUGCACUAUUUGACGUUACCUACAGAAGAAGCACCGGCUAACUCCGUGCCAGCAGCCGCGGUAAUACGGAGGGUGCGAGCGUUAAUCGGAAUUACUGGGCGUAAAGCGCACGCAGGCGGUCUGUCAAGUCGGAUGUGAAAUCCCCGGGCUCAACCUGGGAACUGCAUUCGAAACUGGCAGGCUAGAGUCUUGUAGAGGGGGGUAGAAUUCCAGGUGUAGCGGUGAAAUGCGUAGAGAUCUGGAGGAAUACCGGUGGCGAAGGCGGCCCCCUGGACAAAGACUGACGCUCAGGUGCGAAAGCGUGGGGAGCAAACAGGAUUAGAUACCCCCGUAGUC
Molecule: ribosomal RNA, 465 nt
Filed under: uncultured bacterium
Lineage: Bacteria
Description: bacterial SSU rRNA
Rfam family: Bacterial small subunit ribosomal RNA
Source: RNAcentral